GAUGAACGCUAGCGGCAGGCCUAACACAUGCAAGUCGAGGGGUAGCAGGAUUAAGCUUGCUUAAUUGCUGACGACCGGCGCACGGGUGCGUAACGCGUAUGCAACCUACCUUAUACUGGGGUAUAGCCCGGAGAAAUUCGGAUUAAUCCCCCAUAGUACUAAUGAAUCGCAUGGUUUAUUAGUUAAAGCAUUGCGGUAUAAAAUGGGCAUGCGUCCUAUUAGCUAUAUGGUGAGGUAACGGCUCACCAUGGCUACGAUAGGUAUGGGGCAUGGGAGGGUGGUCCCCAACACGGGUACUGAGACACGGACCAGACCCCAGCGUGAGGCAGCAGUGAUGAAUAUUGGUCAAUGGGCGCAAGCCUGAACCAGCCAUGCCGCGUGCAGGAAGAAUGCCCUAUGGGUUGUAAACUGCUUUUAUUUGGGAAGAAACCUCUUUACGUGUAGAGAGCUGAAGGUACCAAAUGAAUAAGCACCGGCUAACUCCGUGCCAGCCGCCGCCGUAA
RNAcentral lists this ribosomal RNA (503 nucleotides) under uncultured bacterium. RNAcentral describes it as "partial 16S ribosomal RNA". It matches the Rfam family "Bacterial small subunit ribosomal RNA", at positions 28 to 523 of the family's 1533-position model. The record is from RNAcentral.